Molecule: ribosomal RNA, 425 nt
Filed under: bacterium
Lineage: Bacteria
Description: partial 16S ribosomal RNA
Rfam family: Bacterial small subunit ribosomal RNA
Source: RNAcentral
UGGGGAAUAUUGCACAAUGGGCGCAAGCCUGAUGCAGCGACGCCGCGUGAGGGAUGGAGGCCUUCGGGUUGUAAACCUCUUUCGCCAGUGAAGCAGGCCAUCUUCUUUGUGGGGUGGUUGACGGUAGCUGGAUAAGAAGCGCCGGCUAACUACGUGCCAGCAGCCGCGGUAAUACGUAGGGCGCGAGCGUUGUCCGGAAUUAUUGGGCGUAAAGAGCUCGUAGGCGGCUGGUCGCGUCUGUCGUGAAAUCCCCUGGCUUACCUGGGGGCUUGCGGUGGGUACGGGCCGGCUUGAGUGCGGUAGGGGAGACUGGAAUUCCUGGUGUAGCGGUGGAAUGCGCAGAUAUCAGGAGGAACACCGGUGGCGAAGGCGGGUCUCUGGGCCGUUACUGACGCUGAGGAGCGAAAGCGUGGGGAGCGAACAGG